ACCAAUUCUGGGGGAAAAUUCAGUUCCUCUAUGGUAUAAUGGCUUGGGCGCCAUAGUUAGAGUUGUGGCUUAUCCUGGUUUUUGUAUUCAUCUACAUGACAUUACACCCCGGAAAAACCUCGUAAAUUU
RNAcentral lists this small nucleolar RNA (129 nucleotides) under Erythranthe guttata (spotted monkey flower). The record is from RNAcentral. Lineage: Eukaryota; Viridiplantae; Streptophyta; Magnoliopsida; Lamiales; Phrymaceae.